AACGCACAUUGCGCUCAAGCCUUCGGGCUUGAGCAUGUCUGCCUCAGCGUCGUUUCAAAUGGCUUGCCGUCCGUGACCCUUGCCGCUCCCUUCGAGGGAGGGCAUGGGUUUAAGCCGUGACCUCCGGCGCGUCCGUCCAUCCGUGGGCGGCGUGCAGCAGCAGCCACUCCGGCACUGCUCAUCGUAAGCAUGCUGCAUACCGUGGCAUAUAUGCUCUACCAUGGGCCCUGCUGGUUAGUUGAUGGCGCGGCUUGCUUGACGUGUGUUGUGUUUAUCUCAGCACACACAAGCAGGCUCUGCUUCAGCUGGACACCUGGCUGCGCAACACACCAUUCGACCUGAGUUUAGGCAGGGUUACCCGCUGAACUUAA
This 371-nucleotide unclassified non-coding RNA is filed under the name uncultured fungus. Its description in RNAcentral is "partial contains ITS1, 5.8S rRNA and ITS2". Lineage: Eukaryota; Fungi. The record is from RNAcentral.